Molecule: long non-coding RNA, 1305 nt
Organism: Scylla paramamosain (green mud crab)
Lineage: Eukaryota; Metazoa; Arthropoda; Malacostraca; Decapoda; Portunidae
Exons: 5
Source: RefSeq, a predicted model, not a curated record
AGUUUUGGGUCGCCUCUCCAUUAUCUCGUGGUGACGUAAAGGUGACGGCCCGUGUGUUAGUUUUCCCGGUAAUUGUGCCUCCGUAACAUUACUGCGUGCAGUGGUCGUGAGAACUGCGAGGCGGCGGUGCAGACUGUGCCGUGGAGAGCCGCGGGGUGUUGGAAUCGCCUCUCAGUCACCUUGAAGGCGUCAUAUUCCCUCCCUGCUCUUCCCCGUGUCUUCCUGUCGAUGUUGACUCAAAACAGACCACCACCACCACCACCACUACCUAACGCUGUGUCCAGGCUGGAAUGUGUGACCUCUCUGCCAGGAAUGUCACCGUCCUCUCACACUCUGACACCAAGUACCUCACAACAACACCUGCAAUACUACGCUUCUGAGUCCCCCCGGAGUGUGGCUACUGCGAGGCGCUGCUGGCCUUCACACUCCAUCCCCUGCGCCCUCCUGUCAUUACAUCGCCUUUCCAGCGAAGGCAUUACUGCGAUGGUUAUGCGGCUUUUGAGGGGAGUAGCAGCCGCCCAUCGCUGGGAAGGACGCGCCUCACCCUGGCGGCCCUGCUCGGUCCCUUCCACGACUCGCAGCGAGAGAGAGAGGUCGAGGUGCGGCGGUCUCGUGGCGGAAGCCUGAAGGAGGCGGUGAAGGAGUGAAGGUGUGAAGUGUGCAGCUUCCACUUCAUCAUCCCAUGAACAGCCCACAGGAAUCUCUACCAGCACCUGGUUAUUAAACAGUGUUGUCACGCCAGGCCCAAUGUACUCCAUUGCAAUCAGGGAGUCGAGCUUCACCAGGAAAAGAGGCAGAGCGUCACCACCUUCAAGCCCCACAAGAGGUAUUAAGUAUCGUUGGGACAAAGCAAUCAGGGAAGAGUCAAGUUGCAGUAAGAAGAGUGUGUCAAGAAUUUCAAGCAGGAAGAACACGUAAAAUUCCCUUCAAGUCAUGGCGGGACCGACAGGCAACCUUCAACACUUGUGGAGGCACGAGAGCUGCAGGCAGUUUCACAAAGAAGAGGUUGCUCCUCACUCAAGUUGACGCAAGGACACAAGAAUUGGCAAGUGUUGUUGCUCCCAGGCCCUGCUGCAAGAGUUCUCCAGUCCACUCCAGUCUGGGAAGGAAGAAUGUAGCAAGUCCUUCUCUUCUGUACUCAACAACCACCACCACCACCUUCAUUCAGGCUUGGGAUAAGUUUUGUACAUUCCAGCACUUCAGUAAUAAGGAAAAAAAGUGCCAUGUUUAUAUUAUUGUUGUGUAUUUAUUCACUUAACAUUCACAUUAAAACAAUAAACAUUCAGUAUACCAUCUUGAACAUAA